GAGCGAUCGGGCAUGGUGACGAGACCUGCCUUCAAAACCAUGUUG
RNAcentral lists this transfer RNA (45 nucleotides) under Pelagodinium bei. RNAcentral describes it as "Pelagodinium beii partial Selenocysteine transfer RNA". Lineage: Eukaryota; Dinophyceae; Suessiales; Suessiaceae. The record is from RNAcentral.